ACGGUAGAGUACUCGGCUUUUAAGUGCGACUAGAAUCCCGGGUUCGAAUCCCGGGCAACCCACUGUCAUUUCCAAA
RNAcentral lists this transfer RNA (76 nucleotides) under Andrographis paniculata. RNAcentral describes it as "tRNA-Lys". The record is from RNAcentral. Lineage: Eukaryota; Viridiplantae; Streptophyta; Magnoliopsida; Lamiales; Acanthaceae.